AUUUGUUUAAAGGGCGGUGCCUUCACCCAUUCAGCCCAUAUAUAAGGCGGUGGGAGAGAGAUGUAUGGACUGACAACGGUGGAUUGUGGUGAUGGAGGAACCGCCACUGCUAAAGACCGUCUUGUCUAAUCGGCGACUAUUCGAGCUUCGUCUUUCUCUGCGUCUCAUCGAUUUCCUCGGCCAAGCGACUCUUCAGUGGAGGCCCGCUGUUGCCGGCGGCCAUUUGAGGCCGUUUUCUGGUGGCGGCGGCUGUUCCAAGGAGGCCCGUUGUUGCCGACGGCCAUUAGAGCCCGUUUCUGGCAGCGACACGACAACCUUCAUAUUUCUCCAUGGGUUGAUAUUGUUCUGUUGCUGCUUCAAGUUCGAAUAGGAGUUAUUUUCCCUGUCUAUGAAGUUGAUUCAGGCGUUGUAGAGGAUAUUUUAGGUUGUGAUUCAACUUACAUUUAGUUAGCGAGUAAUCCGACAAGUCAUACUCUCCAUUGAAUCCAUAGUUGCUACGUACAAUGUAAUUAAUCAGGCGUUGCUUGGCGAGAUCCAAAGAGUAUCCUCGAGGGAAGGGAGGGCUGCCAUUAAACUUCAUUUAUAAUGGGUUUUUCAACAGUAAGUUCAUUGGUUUCAAUGAAAUUAUAUAUUUAUAUGUGUAUUUUUUGAGAUUGUGUUUGCUUUGUAUGUUUAUAUCUUAUUCUACUUUUAUAAGGCGCCAGAUUAGGUUCUGGUCUGAAAAGGCGUGGAUUCAACUCCCAGUCUCAGUAAAUUGUUUAUACAGCUUUUUUAGGGCGAAAUAGACUGUUUCUGUACAGUUGUUACACCUAUGUACUGUCAAGAUUUUGUGAUGUUCAGCCACAAGGGUUACUCAUAAAUUAUCUAAUGUUUAUAUUUGUUUAAUAUUUGGAAGCAUUGGGAUCCAAGGAUUAACAGUUUGACCACCUUUGAUAAAGUGGAUGACGAAAAUGAUCUCACAAACGAUUUGGGUUGCGGUCAUUAAAAGCUAACGGAAAAGAGGUUUCUGUAUGGGGCUUUUCUUUACUAUCACUAUGAAAUGAUGGGUGACGUUAACAUGUCGAACUUACGGUUAGAAGUCAUGAGAAUCAGUUGGUGAUUCCACACCAGAAUUCUACAAUGUCAUCCUCUUCUUUGGUGUAAUAGACAUAUUACAAGAUUAUGACAUCAGCAAGAAAGCUUGAGCACACCUAUAAGGCAUUCUAAUACAACCGGGCUUCCAUUUCGCUCGCAUGCAUACAAAAACUUCAGAAGCAGCAAAUGCCACAAAGGGAAAUCGACUUCAAGGGUCAAUGCAAAAGUCCUUUUGCUUCUAGGUAUGUAUGUGGACAUGUAAUCUUUUGGGUCCAGUUCCUAAAUAUGUAAUAUUUUAGUUCCUAAAUAUGUAAUAUAUUUGGUCAACUGGAACAUUUUCUCCAAUUCAACACAGAUUGUGUGUAUGUACAUUGUAUAAAGUCUAACUCACACAUAUUAGAGAGUCGAAUACAUCAUAUACGGAA
This is a long non-coding RNA of Helianthus annuus (common sunflower), 1499 nucleotides long. RefSeq lists it as uncharacterized. NCBI's taxonomy places the organism in Eukaryota, Viridiplantae, Streptophyta, Magnoliopsida, Asterales, Asteraceae. The record is from RefSeq and is a predicted model, not a curated record. The transcript is spliced from 4 exons.